This 139-nucleotide small nuclear RNA is filed under the name Eptatretus burgeri (inshore hagfish). The record is from RNAcentral. Lineage: Eukaryota; Metazoa; Chordata; Myxini; Myxiniformes; Myxinidae.
AUGUUGUAUGAAAGGAGAGAAGGUUAGUACUCCCCUUGACUUUGAGGAAGAAGACCAAGAAGCCUCAUGAGGAAAAGGACAAAGAGGACCACGAGGGCUGUUUGAGGGCUUACUGGUCGUUUUCAUUCCUCGUGUCUGG